GAUACUCCAGGGAGGUGAGGAUCUCCCAGGGAAGGUCUGCUGAGCCGGCAGUGGUUACAAAUGAAGGAUUUCUGUCAAUCGGCUUCUUCAAAAAGGAAAGCAGAGUCACCAAGUCAGUGUCAAGUUGGCUUUUUACUGCUGGGAGCCAUGCCUGUCUCAAGUGAGGACACAGCAUUUAACCAAAUUCAAGGGCUGGGCAGGGAGGUGUUGCCCCACGUUCUGAUCAAAGCGACGGUCUCAAUCUCCUCACAAAGCUGAUCUAAGUUCUGUAAAAACUGCCAUCAAAUGGGAGCCAGACGUCUGUUCUGUGGACUUCAAGGACAGUCCCUCUCCUGGAUGCAGUGCUGUGGAUUUCUGAAGACAUGUGGAGAGA
Apodemus sylvaticus (European woodmouse) is the source of this 373-nucleotide long non-coding RNA. RefSeq lists it as uncharacterized. The record is from RefSeq and is a predicted model, not a curated record. Lineage: Eukaryota; Metazoa; Chordata; Mammalia; Rodentia; Muridae. The transcript is spliced from 3 exons.